AGCGCGUUGCCGCCGGGUAACAGACAGAUAAUGCAUCUGCCUCCAUGUCGUUAGGCCAUAGAAGACAUGGAAGCCGGUGCAUAUUUUUU
RNAcentral lists this non-coding RNA (89 nucleotides) under unclassified sequences. The record is from RNAcentral.